This 72-nucleotide transfer RNA is filed under the name Leptospirillum ferrooxidans C2-3. It matches the Rfam family "tRNA". Rfam says of the family: Transfer RNA (tRNA) molecules are approximately 80 nucleotides in length. Their secondary structure includes four short double-helical elements and three loops (D, anti-codon, and T loops). The record is from Rfam by way of RNAcentral. Lineage: Bacteria; Pseudomonadati; Nitrospirota; Nitrospiria; Nitrospirales; Nitrospiraceae.
GGCGGCGUAGCCAAGUGGUAAGGCAAGGGUCUGCAAAACCUUUAUACCCCAGUUCGAACCUGGGCGCCGCCU